Molecule: ribosomal RNA, 200 nt
Filed under: uncultured Glomus
Lineage: Eukaryota; Fungi; Glomeromycota; Glomeromycetes; Glomerales; Glomeraceae
Also listed under: 1 other name
Description: partial small subunit ribosomal RNA
Rfam family: Eukaryotic small subunit ribosomal RNA
Source: RNAcentral
CCAAUAGCGUAUAUUAAAGUUGCUGCAGUUAAAAAGCUCGUAGUUGAAUUUCGGGACCAAUAUGUCGGUCGUGCCUCGGUACGUACUGGCAUCGUUGGUUUCUCCCUUCUGACGAACCAUGAUGUCAUUUAUUUGGUGUCGUGGGGAAUCAGGACUGUUACUUUGAAAAAAUUAGAGUGUUUAAAGCAGGCUCACGCUUG